AGAGUUUGAUUCUGGCUCAGAACGAACGCUGGCAGCGUGGAUUAGGCAUGCAAGUCGAACGAGAAUUCGUUUCACCGCAAGGUGAGACGGAAGACAGAGGCGGAAGGGUGAGUAACGCGUGGGCAAUUUGCCGCAAAGUUGGGGAUAACCUGGCGAAAGCCGGACUAAUACCGAAUGUGGUUCUCUGGCGCAUGUUGGGGACACUGAAGGUGGGGACCCGAAAGGGCCUGUCGCUUUGCGAGAAGCCCGCGUCCUAUCAGCUUGUUGGUGAGGUAACGGCCCACCAAGGCUUACGGGUAGCUGGUCUGAGAGGAUGGUCUGCCACACUGGGACUGAGACACUGCCCAGACUCCUACGGGAGGCUGCAGUCGAGGAUCAUUCGCAAUGCGCGAAAGCGUGACGAUGCGACGCUGCGUGGAGGAUGAAGGCCUUCGGGUUGUAAACUCCUGUCAUUCGGGAACAAUAAUUCCGGGGAUAACAUUCCCGGGACUCGAUAGUACCGGAAGAGGAAGCCACGGCUAACUCUGUGCCAGCAGCCGCGGUAAUACAGAGGUGGCGAGCGUUGUUCGGAUUUACUGGGCGUAAAGGGUGUGUAGGCGGUAUUGCAAGUCAGGUGUGAAAGCUCACUGCUUAACGGUGAGAGUGCAUUUGAAACUGCAAGACUUUGGGUACAGGAGAGGAAAGCGGAAUUCUUGGUGUAGCGGUGGAAUGCGUUGAUAUCAAGAAGAACGCCAGCGGCGAAGGCGGCUUUCUGGAAUGUUACCGACGCUGAAACACGAAAGCUGGGGGAGCAAACAGGAUUAGAUACCCUGGUAGUCCCAGCCCUAAACGGUGUACACUUGGUGUGGGGAGAUUUGACCCUCUCCGUGCCGGAGCUAACGCAUUAAGUGUACCGCCUGGGGAGUACGACCGCAAGGUUAAAACUCAAAGAAAUUGACGGGGGCCCGCACAAGCGGAGGAGCAUGUGGCUCAAUUCGAUGCAACGCGAAGAACCUUACCAGGGCUUACAUGCAGCUGCACGCCUGUCGAAAGACAGGAAGCCUUCGAGGGUGCUGCACAGGUGCUGCAUGGCUGUCGUCAGUUCGUGCCGUGAGGUGUUGGGUUAAGUCCCGCAACGAACGCAACCCUUGUGUCUAGUUGCCAAUGCAGGUGAUGAGCCUGCACGCACUCUGGACAGACUGCCCGUGUAAGCGGGAGGAAGGUGAGGAUGACGUCAAGUCAGUAUGGCCUUUAUGCCCUGGGCUGCACACGUGCUACAAUGGCCGGUACAGUGGGAUGCCAAGCCGUGAGGCGGAGCGGAUCCCCAAAACCGGCCCCAGUUCGGAUUGAAGUCUGCAAUUCGACUUCAUGAAGUUGGAUUCGCUAGUAAUGGCGCAUCAGCUACGGCGCCGUGAAUACGUUCCCGGGCCUUGUACACACCGCCCGUCACACCACGAAAGCUCUUUGCACCCGAAGUCGGCAAUCCAAUCUUGAUUCACGUCGAGAAGGUAGCCGCCGAAGGUAUGGGGAGUGAUUGGGAUGAAGUCGGAACAAGGUA
This 1537-nucleotide ribosomal RNA is filed under the name metagenome. RNAcentral's name for it is "bacterial SSU rRNA". It matches the Rfam family "Bacterial small subunit ribosomal RNA". The record is from RNAcentral.